UUAUGUCUAUGGCCCGGCACAUAAACAAAACUGACAGUUGAACGUGACGAGCCGCGGCCAUUUAAAAGUUUUCACUCAACGUCUUACGGAGAAGCACGACCUCUACCGACAACUGUUCUCAUCCCGACACCAACUAAACCGACAACUGACGAGGACCGGGUCUGUUUCAGCACGGACCAUUGGCCUUCAGUCAGAUCUGCCCCGCUGGGAAAGGCUGCUUCCUCAAAAAUAUAAGAGAGACCAUCAUCUUCCUUCCCAAGGAGGGUGUGCGAUUUUUGGCGCCUUGGAAAAAGGGUUAGGUUAAGGGUUAGGGUUAGGGUUAAAUGAGUGCAUCCCUUGCUUGCCUGGUCACGAGGCCCAAAAUGGAUUCUGGUAUGGUGAGUACAACCCGCUCUACAGCAAAAUGUGUCGCUCAUUUACUUUUUAAAAAUAUUUUUUUUCUGUGUGUAUAUUUUUGUGGAUCACCACCAAACUGAAGGCUUUCAAGUGUUACCUGACUGUAAAUCUCUCCGCCUGUCUCACUUAUCUGACUGUUAUCUCACUGUGAAAAAUGGACAGCAUCGAUUACAGUGAACAAUCACUCCCCUCAUCAGUGUUGGACUUCUGAAAAUAUGUUUUUGCACCAAGACCUUUUGUUUCAACUUCUGCAUUAUUUCAGUGAAACGUCAUUGAUCAGCCUGCUGUGAUGUUCAAAAGAAAUACGUCAUUUCAAAAUGCACCACUUUCAUGUUGCGUUGUUUCAUAUUGGCUCAGCCAGGUUAAGUAGGAAGCCAGAUCUAUGUACGGAUUUUGAAAUGUAUAUAUUUCGAUUUCUCAGCCUUCUGUGCUGUGCUAUCAUGAAACGUACCCUUGGUUGUUUAUAGCACGGUAACAUUGGAUUCAGUGUGGAUAUGUGAAAUAAUCAUUUUGAGUUUAUGUAUGUAGAAAAUAUGGAAUUUGCCCUAAAAGCUUGAAAAUGCUUGAAAAAAACAUGGUAAAGCUGUAGGAACCCUCAAUAAAUAAGUUAUUAAAGCAGUUUUAUAUGUA
This is a long non-coding RNA of Acanthopagrus latus (yellowfin seabream), 1026 nucleotides long. RefSeq lists it as uncharacterized. The record is from RefSeq and is a predicted model, not a curated record. NCBI's taxonomy places the organism in Eukaryota, Metazoa, Chordata, Actinopteri, Spariformes, Sparidae. The transcript has 3 exons.